GAGUUUGAUCAUGGCUCAGGAUGAACGCUGGCGGCGUGCCUAAUACAUGCAAGUCGUACGAACAGCGGAAAGUGCUUGCACUUUCCAAGUAAGUGGCGAACGGGUGAGUAACACGUGAAUAACCUACCUCAAAGGUCUGGGAUAACCAUUGGGAAACAGUGACUAAUACCGGGAUAAAACCUAGUAGCACAUGCUACAAGGUUAAAGCUGCGUUUGCAGCGCUUUAAGAUGGAUUCGCGGUGCAUUAGUUAGUUAGGUGAGG
RNAcentral lists this ribosomal RNA (262 nucleotides) under uncultured microorganism. RNAcentral's name for it is "partial 16S ribosomal RNA". It matches the Rfam family "Bacterial small subunit ribosomal RNA", at positions 9 to 257 of the family's 1533-position model. The record is from RNAcentral.